GGGCGUAUAGUUCAGGGGUAUGAACGCUUGACUUGCACUCAAGAGGCCGCGGGUUCAAAUCCCGCUACGUCCA
Molecule: transfer RNA, 73 nt
Filed under: Promethearchaeota archaeon
Lineage: Archaea; Promethearchaeati; Promethearchaeota
Description: Candidatus Lokiarchaeota archaeon (anaerobic digester metagenome) tRNA-Ala
Rfam family: tRNA
About the family: Transfer RNA (tRNA) molecules are approximately 80 nucleotides in length. Their secondary structure includes four short double-helical elements and three loops (D, anti-codon, and T loops). Further hydrogen bonds mediate the characteristic L-shaped molecular structure. tRNAs have two regions of fundamental functional importance: the anti-codon, which is responsible for specific mRNA codon recognition, and the 3' end, to which the tRNAs corresponding amino acid is attached (by aminoacyl-tRNA synthetases). tRNAs cope with the degeneracy of the genetic code in two manners: having more than one tRNA (with a specific anti-codon) for a particular amino acid; and 'wobble' base-pairing, i.e. permitting non-standard base-pairing at the 3rd anti-codon position.
Source: RNAcentral